This 474-nucleotide non-coding RNA is filed under the name Pongo abelii (Sumatran orangutan). Lineage: Eukaryota; Metazoa; Chordata; Mammalia; Primates; Hominidae. The record is from RNAcentral.
GAAGGAGCCUCCCCUAGAGCCUUCGGAGGGAGCAUGCAUUGCUGACACCUUGAUUCCAGACUUCUGACCUCCGGAAGCAUGGGAGAGCAGAUUUCCCUUGUUUGAAGGCACCCAGUUUGUGGUCCUUCAUCAUGGCAGCCCUCAGGAAUGGAUACAGGCCCUUCCCUGCCUGCCUGGUGGAGCAGCCUUCACGGGGAGCCUUUGCUAGCAGGAAGAGGCCCCACAUGGAGCUCAGACCCGCCUUAGAGGAACUUCUCUCAGCCUCCUCUCUCCGCACACCCCACCGAGAUACAAGCAAGGAAAUGUGUGGCAUCUGGCUACCAUGAGCUGAAGACAAAGCCUACAUGGGGAAAAGUGCAACACCAGGAGAAUGGGAGAGAAAUGGAGCCACGCACUGAUGCUAUUAUGAAACAUCUCAAUCAAACUGCACCUCAAGACCGCCCUAUCACCGCAUUUGUCAUUUACAUGAGCCAA